This 73-nucleotide transfer RNA is filed under the name Candidatus Pacearchaeota archaeon RBG_13_36_9. Its description in RNAcentral is "tRNA-Glu". It matches the Rfam family "tRNA". Rfam says of the family: Transfer RNA (tRNA) molecules are approximately 80 nucleotides in length. Their secondary structure includes four short double-helical elements and three loops (D, anti-codon, and T loops). The record is from RNAcentral. Lineage: Archaea; Nanobdellati.
GCACGGAUGGCGAAGUGGCUAACGCACUCGAUUUUCAAGCGAGUAUUCGGGGGUUCGAAUCCCUCUCCGUGCU